RNAcentral lists this ribosomal RNA (306 nucleotides) under Escherichia coli. Its description in RNAcentral is "partial 16S ribosomal RNA". It matches the Rfam family "Bacterial small subunit ribosomal RNA", at positions 1 to 303 of the family's 1533-position model. Lineage: Bacteria; Pseudomonadati; Pseudomonadota; Gammaproteobacteria; Enterobacterales; Enterobacteriaceae. The record is from RNAcentral.
AAAUUGAAGAGUUUGAUCAUGGCUCAGAUUGAACGCUGGCGGCAGGCCUAACACAUGCAAGUCGAACGGUAACAGGAAGCAGCUUGCUGCUUUGCUGACGAGUGGCGGACGGGUGAGUAAUGUCUGGGAAACUGCCUGAUGGAGGGGGAUAACUACUGGAAACGGUAGCUAAUACCGCAUAAUGUCGCAAGACCAAAGAGGGGGACCUUCGGGCCUCUUGCCAUCGGAUGUGCCCAGAUGGGAUUAGCUAGUAGGUGGGGUAAAGGCUCACCUAGGCGACGAUCCCUAGCUGGUCUGAGAGGAUGA